CUGUGUUCAACAUUCAGAUUUGAAAACAUCCUUCCCUCUUCUUUUUUGCUUUUGGUUUUGCAUUAAGUAUGGAGUUGUUUGGAGGGGUUGUUUCCACUCCUACUUUUUGUCUUACAGUUACAGAGCAGAGUGCAGCAUCUCCAAGCAUUCAAUGCAGCCAUGUGAGAAAACUGGCAUGAACUAUCAAUUCAGCACAGCCAAGCUGCCAGAUGCCACAAGUUGGAGCCUUCUUUCUCAGUAAGCCACUUCCUUUUAUGUUUCAAUGUCAGAAGUGAAGUGACGAUCAGACAGCCAAGGCAGCGGCUAUGGCAGAAGAACACAGAAAAACUGAAGGGAAUGAAGGCAAAAUAUAAAGACAUUGAAAACCAACAAGUAAUUGCCUUGAGAAUAGUGACGUUGAAAACUCAGAUGAGGACAGAGUAAAAUAAUUCUCAUUUUAGUGGGAACACAAUAAAAACAGUAAUUUGUUGUCGUGCCACAGCAGCAGCCUAAGAUGUGAGCGCCUCAUCAGCCUACUGCACCCAUCUGCUCACAGUCACUGCUCCUGCACAACAGCUGGCAGAAAGGAACACGGACCUUCCUGCCCUAGUGCAAUUAUGAGUAACUGCAGUAUGGAGUGAGUAUUUUCUUCAGCCACACUGAAAGGGUAAUAAUGCAGUGAUGACUGCCCUAGAGUGCAAACACAAGUCAGAAGUAAGAGCAACUAGAAGAAAGUAACUUCAUCUCACUUUGUUGCAAAGACAUGCUGAAACUCAACCACCAAAGCCCUGAAGGGAGGCAAAGAAAGAAAGACUCAUACAACACCCCAGCUUGUGUUUUAUUAAGGAGACCUUACACUUGUACAUUGGCCCAUACAAGACUUGUACAUAAAACUUGGUAAAACCAUCAGUGAAUACAGCAAGCUAUUACAUAGAAACAAACAUCAUGGAGACAAACUGCGUGAACCAACAGAUAUUACAGCAACAUGAGACAAACCAAAGAAUAAGUCUACAAACAUCAGAACACAACAACUAUCAAUACUGCUCUUCAAUUAAAAUUUCAAGAGCUGCAAGAAUGUAUCAUACUAGGAAAAAAAAGAUCUUUGAAUAAACAUGAAGUUUAUGAAAAAAAAUUUCUUUAAAAAUGUGUCCCAACACUUGCUCCUAUCUUUUCAUUAGUAGUUUUACCCCUAUUAAAGCAAAUAUUCGCUGAAAAUCAAAAUGAAUUUUAAAUAAAUUGAGAGAAAUCUUAGAACACUUGAAUUAAAGGGUAAGCCCCCCUGAAUUUGAAUGUAGUGUAGGAAGCAUUUCAUAAUACUCCUGUAUCUUUCUCCUAAACCCUCCAAAAACAAAAACAAACAACAACAACAAAAAAACCAGCUCAUGUUUUUUGAAUUCCACAGCACUGCCAUUUCUGUAAUUUUGCUGUAAUAAAAGGAAGGACAGGGCUAAACUGUCACAAACCAUUCAAUAAGGCACAAAGACCUCUGUUACUCAUUGUUCCCGUCUUCUUCAGUAGCAACACAGCUUCCCAAAGGUGAAUCACAGAAGUGGAAGUUUAUGUAAACCUGAUUCUUUGCAAGAGGACUUGGAAGGUUCUCAUACCUUACUGGUGCAUAAUCACUGCUGAUAGGAAAGACAACAUGCACCAGCUGCUGGAAUCAAAUUAUUCCAUCUCCAAAUAGCACAACAUGAAUCAUAAGUGAAAGCUUUAUGGAGCAAGGGGUCAGUAACAUUAAAUAGAAUUCAAUGGAGAUGGAAAGUGAAAUGCAAAACCAAAUCUGUAAUAACCUCAUCAAAUGGCCUGAUCACACACAGCUGAUGUAUAAAAUGUGUAAGUUUUAGAUCUAACCUGAAGAUAGGUUUUUUUGCAGUCAGAGUAGGCCAAAACUGAGUAAUUCUUCAUGUGAAUGCUGAAGAUGAAGAUAGAAUUGUUCAUAAAAAAAUGUGUCUUCUGGAGCAUUUGCUUUGAUUCCACAGCACAUUUAAGCAAUGCAAAUGUCAGAAAAUCACUUUAUGUUGUUUUCAACAUUAUAUUCACAUCUUACCUUCCAGAUUUUUUUGAGUAGUUACACAGGAAUGAUGAACCCAACUUUCUUCUGCAACACCUGUUGUGUUAAGUUCUAUCACAUUCAUAGAAAAAGUCAAGGCUUGGCCCAGACUGGUAGUAAAUUAGAAACGUACUGUUAACUUAUUAAGCUUACUGUAUGUACUGCAGACUCAAAGCAACGUCCAGAACUUUGGUUAAUGGGAGCUUUUGUGGGUUCUAAAUCCUGUUCUCCUGAAAAAGGAGUAAGCUAAAAAGGUCAUCAUCCAGAACAAAAGAUACCACGCAAUCAGAUACACUAUCAUGCUUGUUCAGGCAAUUGCACUAAAACUGCACUAAAAUUGCACCUGGGCUAAUCAAAAUGAUCUGCGUUAGAAGAAGGUCCUUGAAGAAUCUAUUUACCAUAGUUACAGCAAGUUCAGAAAUAGUUAAUGCCUUUUCUUCCUAUGCUGUAGCAAAGCGUACAAGCACAGUUAAUAGAAACUGAUGCUAUAAAGAACAGAUUAAAUCUGUUCAGAUCUGAUCAAGUUGGCACAAGCAACUAAACAAUACUUGCACUGUCAGACUUUGGUCAUUACUGCUGUUCAUUUAAAAAAAAACAAGAUGAAAGAGAGGCAAAAGAUUCAUAAGAUAAAAUAACGGAGACUUUUCUUGUAGGUAAUAAACACGGUUACUGUGAGUUGUUUUGUUUUUUUUAAGUUAACUUUUGAAAAUUUCUGAAAUUAUAUGCUGAGUUAAAAAGGUGUACAAUCUGGAAUGUGGAAAGUAAAUCACAGAAGUGUAUAAAUUUUGCUGUAAGCAGUGAUUAGUGUAAAACUACUUAAUUCUAGGGGCCUCAAGCUUUUAAAGAGACAGCAGCAGAACAUUUUACGUAGCUCAUGGUAAUAUCAUGGAUUCUACGUUUAAGAUCUCAUAAACAGAAUCUUCUACUGAUGAGGAGUGAGAAAAUUAUCCAUUAUGAUAGCAGCACAAAUGGAGCAUAUGAGGAUGAGCUACAAAAUAAUCCCUCUGGGAAACUGCAUAGUGCUGUACCUACUACAGUCUGAACUGUUGUCCUCCUGUAUAAAAUGUGAAUGAUUUUCCUUGACAGACACUGAAUGGUUUUUGACUGGCGCACACAAAAGCUGCUGGUAGCGAAUUACCUCAGUCUACAACUAGCAACCAGGGUUGUUCUCCCCUUUAUAUACUUGCAGGAAACAAGUGCUAGAUGCCACUGGGAGAAUGACAGAGAACAUGCAUGUGAUGAGUAAGUAACAAUACUGACCUGUUAAAGAGGCACUGCAUUUCUACAUUAUUAUGUACAAUUAUACAAGAACUAUUUCAGUGACCAUGGGUGUGUUCUAUACACCCCAUUUGGGAAGGAAAAUACACUUCCCUUUCAUGUUGAAAGAAACCAAGUAUUAUAAAUGAGGUCAUACCUUGUAGGCUUCAUAUUUAACAUUCUAUUCCUAUAGCUUUUUUAAACUCAGAAUUUUGUGGUUCUGAGAUGUCAUAAUAAACCCUACUUUUAUCAAAGUUUUCACGGAUGAAAAGCAAAUCUUCUACAGAAUACGCAUCCUCCUUGCCUGUCCAAACAGUGA
RNAcentral lists this long non-coding RNA (3605 nucleotides) under Gallus gallus (chicken). RNAcentral's name for it is "long non-coding RNA NONGGAT012013". The record is from RNAcentral. Lineage: Eukaryota; Metazoa; Chordata; Aves; Galliformes; Phasianidae.